Molecule: ribosomal RNA, 460 nt
Filed under: uncultured bacterium
Lineage: Bacteria
Description: partial 16S ribosomal RNA
Rfam family: Bacterial small subunit ribosomal RNA
Source: RNAcentral
CCUACGGGCGGCAGCAGUGAGGAAUAUUGGUCAAUGGACGAGAGUCUGAACCAGCCAAGUAGCGUGAAGGAUGACUGCCCUAUGGGUUGUAAACUUCUUUUAUAUGGGAAUAAAAUGUUCCACGUGUGGGAUUUUGUAUGUACCAUAUGAAUAAGGAUCGGCUAACUCCGUGCCAGCAGCCGCGGUAAUACGGAGGAUCCGAGCGUUAUCCGGAUUUAUUGGGUUUAAAGGGAGCGUAGGUGGAUUGUUAAGUCAGGUGUGAAAGUUUGCGGCUCAACCGUAAAAUUGCAGUUGAAACUGGCAGUCUUGAGUACAGUAGAGGUGGGCGGAAUUCGUGGUGUAGCGGUGAAAUGCUUAGAUAUCACGAAGAACUCCGAUUGCGAAGGCAGUUCACUGGACUGCAACUGACACUGAGGCUCGAAAGUGUGGGUAUCAAACAGGAUUAGAUACCCCUGUAGUC